This 127-nucleotide ribosomal RNA is filed under the name Serratia sp. HRI. Its description in RNAcentral is "partial 23S ribosomal RNA". It matches the Rfam family "Bacterial large subunit ribosomal RNA", at positions 1354 to 1484 of the family's 2925-position model. Lineage: Bacteria; Pseudomonadati; Pseudomonadota; Gammaproteobacteria; Enterobacterales; Yersiniaceae. The record is from RNAcentral.
CCCGGGCAAUGUCAAUCAUCCCGGGGUCAGUCGGGUCCUAAGUCUCAGCCGAACGGCGAGGGCGAUGGCAGACACGGUCAACAUUCCGUGACUACCGUGGGCAGCGAUGCGGAGACGGAGCAGUGAA